This 389-nucleotide ribosomal RNA is filed under the name uncultured bacterium. RNAcentral's name for it is "partial 16S ribosomal RNA". It matches the Rfam family "Bacterial small subunit ribosomal RNA", at positions 355 to 735 of the family's 1533-position model. The record is from RNAcentral.
UGGGGAAUUUUGGACAAUGGGCGAAAGCCUGAUCCAGCAAUGCCGCGUGUGUGAAGAAGGCCUUCGGGUUGUAAAGCACUUUUGUCCGGAAAGAAAUCCUUGGCUCUAAUACAGUCGGGGGAUGACGGUACCGGAAGAACAAGCACCGGCUAACUACGUGCCAGCAGCCGCGGUAAUACGUAGGGUGCAAGCGUUAAUCGGAAUUACUGGGCGUAAAGCGUGCGCAGGCGGUCUGCUAAGACCGAUGUGAAAUCCCCGGGCUCAACCUGGGAACUGCAUUGGUGACUGGCAGGCUAGAGUAUGGCAGAGGGGGGUAGAAUUCCACGUGUAGCAGUGAAAUGCGUAGAGAUGUGGAGGAAUACCGAUGGCGAAGGCAGCCCCCUGGGGCC